UGUGAAUGUCCUGCUUUGUGGAUGGGGCCGUUUCGUUUACUAUGGUUGGGGCCUCAGGUAUUACUAUUCCCGCCGUGGGUGGCGUUGGAGUAGCCUCUAGCUGUGUAGCUGCCAUACCUCUCGUGCAUGCAGAGGCCGUCAGCAUCUGGCCGAUGUCCUGCCCGUCUUUUGGGGUAGGUGGAGUGGGCUUUUUGUGUCCCAUGUCUAGUUCUUUGGGGGUCUGCUGGCUGUUUGCCGUAUGCAAGUUACCUCCAGUAUGCAG
Molecule: non-coding RNA, 262 nt
Organism: Pelobates cultripes (western spadefoot toad)
Lineage: Eukaryota; Metazoa; Chordata; Amphibia; Anura; Pelobatidae
Source: the annotation of a GenBank genome assembly